RNAcentral lists this ribosomal RNA (427 nucleotides) under uncultured bacterium. RNAcentral describes it as "bacterial SSU rRNA". It matches the Rfam family "Bacterial small subunit ribosomal RNA", at positions 355 to 774 of the family's 1533-position model. The record is from RNAcentral. RNAcentral also lists the same sequence under 2 other names.
UAGGGAAUCUUCCACAAUGGACGAAAGUCUGAUGGAGCAACGCCGCGUGAGUGAAGAAGGGUUUCGGCUCGUAAAACUCUGUUGUUAAAGAAGAACAUAUCUGAGAGUAACUGUUCAGGUAUUGACGGUAUUUAACCAGAAAGCCACGGCUAACUACGUGCCAGCAGCCGCGGUAAUACGUAGGUGGCAAGCGUUGUCCGGAUUUAUUGGGCGUAAAGCGAGCGCAGGCGGUUUUUUAAGUCUGAUGUGAAAGCCUUCGGCUCAACCGAAGAAGUGCAUCGGAAACUGGGAAACUUGAGUGCAGAAGAGGACAGUGGAACUCCAUGUGUAGCGGUGAAAUGCGUAGAUAUAUGGAAGAACACCAGUGGCGAAGGCGGCUGUCUGGUCUGUAACUGACGCUGAGGCUCGAAAGUAUGGGUAGCAAACA